GACGAACGCUGGCGGCGUGCUUAACACAUGCAAGUCGAACGGAAAGGCCCUGCUUUUGUGGGGUGCUCGAGUGGCGAACGGGUGAGUAACACGUGAGUAACCUGCCCUUGACUUUGGGAUAACUUCAGGAAACUGGGGCUAAUACCGGAUAGGAGCUCCUGCUGCAUGGUGGGGGUUGGAAAGUUUCGGCGGUUGGGGAUGGACGCGCGGCUUAUCAGCUUGUUGGUGGGGUAGUGGCUUACCAAGGCUUUGACGGGUAGCCGGCCUGAGAGGGUGACCGGCCACAUUGGGACUGAGAGAGGGACCAGACUCGUACGGGAGGCAGCAGUGGGAAAUAUUGCACAAUGGGCGGAAGCCUGAUGCAGCAACGCCGCGUGCGGGAUGACGGCCUUCGGGUUGUGAACCGCUUUCGCCUGUGACGAAGCGUGAGUGACGGUAAUGAGUAAAGAAGCACCGGCUAACUACGUG
This 468-nucleotide ribosomal RNA is filed under the name uncultured bacterium. RNAcentral's name for it is "partial 16S ribosomal RNA". It matches the Rfam family "Bacterial small subunit ribosomal RNA", at positions 28 to 507 of the family's 1533-position model. The record is from RNAcentral.